ACGCUUGCUGCAUGCUUUAUACAUGCAAGUCGAACGAAGGCCCUAGCUUGCUAGGUGUCCUUAGUGGCGCACGGGUGAGUAACACGUGGGAACAUACCUUAUAGUACGGAAUAACUGCGGGAAACUGUAGCUAAUACCGUAUAUUCCAGUAAUGGGAAAGAUUUAUCGCUAUAAGAUUGGCCCGCGCAAGAUUAGCUUGUUGGUGAGGUAAAAGCUCACCAAGGCUUCGAUCUUUAGCUGGUUUGAGAGGAUGAUCAGCCACACUGGGACUGAGACACGGCCCAGACUCCUACGGGAGGCAGCAGUAGGGAAUAUUGGACAAUGGGGGCAACCCUGAUCCAGCAAUGCAGCGUGAGUGACGAAGGCCUUAGGGUUGUAAAACUCUUUCAUCGGUGAGGAUAAUGACAGUAGCCGAAGAAGAAGGACCGGCUAAUUCCGUGCCAGCAGCCGCGGUAAUACGGAAGGUCCUAGCGUUGUUCGGAAUUACUGGGCGUAAAGCGCAUGUAGGCGGAACAGAAAGUUAGAAGUGAAAUCCCUGGGCUCAACCUAGGAAUUGCUUUUAAAACUUCUGUUCUGGAAUUCAGGAGAGGAAAAUGGAAUUUCCAGUGUAGAGGUGAAAUUCGUAGAUAUUGGAAGGAACACCAGUGGCGAAGGCGAUUUUCUGGACUGAUAUUGACGCUGAGAUGCGAAGGCAUGGGUAGCAAACGGGAUUAGAUACCCCGGUAGUCCAUGCAGUAAACGAUGGGUGCUAGUCGUCGGACUUUUGUUCGGUGUCGUAGCUAACGCGUUAAGCACCCCGCCUGGGGAGUACGGUC
This 815-nucleotide ribosomal RNA is filed under the name uncultured Alphaproteobacteria bacterium. RNAcentral describes it as "bacterial SSU rRNA". It matches the Rfam family "Bacterial small subunit ribosomal RNA", at positions 33 to 887 of the family's 1533-position model. The record is from RNAcentral. Lineage: Bacteria; Pseudomonadati; Pseudomonadota; Alphaproteobacteria.